CCUCGACUCACUUUGUAGCCCAGGCGGGCCUCAAAUUCACAGGGAUCCUCCUGCCUCAGCCUCCCAAGUGCUGGGAU
Molecule: microRNA precursor, 77 nt
Organism: Octodon degus (degu)
Lineage: Eukaryota; Metazoa; Chordata; Mammalia; Rodentia; Octodontidae
Source: Ensembl